GUGCUGUAUUAAAGGAGAGAAGGUUAGCACUCCUGUUGAUGAGAAUGGAUGAGGUCCUAGUUGCCAUCACAAUACACAUAAGGGUAUGGAUAAGGAAAUACUUUCUUUUGUCGGUCCCUUAGGAUCUU
Molecule: non-coding RNA, 128 nt
Filed under: Notamacropus eugenii (tammar wallaby)
Lineage: Eukaryota; Metazoa; Chordata; Mammalia; Diprotodontia; Macropodidae
Source: RNAcentral